UACGGAGGGUGCAAGCGUUAUCCGGAUUCACUGGGUUUAAAGGGUGCGUAGGUGGGUUGGUAAGUCAGUGGUGAAAUCUCCGUGCUUAACAUGGAAACUGCCAUUGAUACUACUGAUCUUGAAUUUUCAGGAGGUAAGCGGAAAUAUGUCAUGUAGCGGUGAAAUGCUUAGAUAAUGACAUAGAACACCAAUUGCGAAGGCAG
RNAcentral lists this ribosomal RNA (203 nucleotides) under uncultured bacterium. RNAcentral's name for it is "partial 16S ribosomal RNA". It matches the Rfam family "Bacterial small subunit ribosomal RNA", at positions 524 to 724 of the family's 1533-position model. The record is from RNAcentral.